AUCCAGACUCCUACGGGAGGCAGCAGUGGGGAAUAUUGCACAAUGGGGGAAACCCUGAUGCAGCGACGCCGCGUGAGUGAAGAAGUAUUUCGGUAUGUAAAGCUCUAUCAGCAGGGAAGAAAAUGACGGUACCUGAUUAAGAAGCCCCGGCUAACUACGUGCCAGCAGCCGCGGUAAUACGUAGGGGGCAAGCGUUAUCCGGAUUUACUGGGUGUAAAGGGAGCGUAGACGGCAGGGCAAGUCGGAAGUGAAAUGCCGGGGCUUAACCCCGGAACUGCUUUGGAAUCUGUGCAGUUAGAGUGCAGGAAAGGUAAGUGGAAUUUCUCGUGUAGCGGUGAAAUGCGUAGAUAUUAGGAGGAACGCCAGGGG
Molecule: ribosomal RNA, 369 nt
Filed under: uncultured bacterium
Lineage: Bacteria
Description: bacterial SSU rRNA
Rfam family: Bacterial small subunit ribosomal RNA
Source: RNAcentral